Syngnathus acus (greater pipefish) is the source of this 389-nucleotide long non-coding RNA. RefSeq lists it as uncharacterized. Lineage: Eukaryota; Metazoa; Chordata; Actinopteri; Syngnathiformes; Syngnathidae. The transcript is spliced from 2 exons. The record is from RefSeq and is a predicted model, not a curated record.
AUAAAUAAUGUACAGAAGUUGUAUUGUUUUGUUUUAAACAACCAUUGAUCCGUGUGAAGUGUGGUCAUUUCUGUAACUGUCAGGGUCCAGGGAGGUGUUCUUUUCAGGUCCACAGGUGGCAGCCGUUAGCAGAGUGGCGGAGGACUCAGGUGCAGCUCAUCAGGCUCGUUAGGGGAAGGCUUUUAAGGAGCGUGCUGCCAGCGGCUCGUCGCCUGAGUGUCUGCCUAUGUGAUCUCCUCCACGAUUUCCUCCACGGACCAUCACCAAGAUCCACCCCGCUCUGGACGAACUCCUCACGCUCCGUCAUCGCUGCUCCCGCUCCGUGCUCCUGGCUCAGCUCCUCCCGCUCACCCUCCACCGUAUCACCUCCAUUAAAGACUCCUUACUCA